AUGUUAAAGAAGAUUAUUUGGUAC
RNAcentral lists this small nuclear RNA (24 nucleotides) under Arabidopsis thaliana (thale cress). RNAcentral's name for it is "snRNA_03811". The record is from RNAcentral. Lineage: Eukaryota; Viridiplantae; Streptophyta; Magnoliopsida; Brassicales; Brassicaceae.